This 513-nucleotide ribosomal RNA is filed under the name uncultured bacterium. RNAcentral's name for it is "partial 16S ribosomal RNA". It matches the Rfam family "Bacterial small subunit ribosomal RNA", at positions 28 to 523 of the family's 1533-position model. The record is from RNAcentral.
GACGAACGCUGGCGGCAUGCCUAAUACAUGCAAGUCGAGCGAACAGAUGAAGUGCUUGCACUUCUGACGUGAGCGGCGAACGGGUGAGUAACACGUAAGGAAUCUACCUAUAAGCGGGGGAUAACAUUCGGAAACGGGUGCUAAUACCGCAUAAUAUCUUCUUCCGCAUGGAAGAAGAUUGAAAGACGGCUCUUCUGUCACUUAUAGAUGACCUUGCGGUGCAUUAGUUAGUUGGUGGGGUAAUGGCUUACCAAGAGGAUGAUGCAUAGCCGACCUGAGAGGGUGAUCGGCCACAUUGGGACUGAGACACGGCCCAAACUCCUACGGGAGGCAGCAGUAGGGAAUCUGCCGCAAUGGGCGAAAGCCUGACGGAGCAAUGCCGCGUGAGUGAAGAAGGCCUUCGGGUCGUAAAACUCUGUUAUAAGAGAAGAACAAAUUGUAGAGUAACUGCUACAGUCUUGACGGUAUCUUAUCAGAAAGCCACGGCUAACUACGUGCCAGCAGCCGCAGUAA